RNAcentral lists this ribosomal RNA (101 nucleotides) under Paratrichodorus pachydermus. RNAcentral's name for it is "partial 28S large subunit ribosomal RNA". It matches the Rfam family "Eukaryotic large subunit ribosomal RNA", at positions 1 to 100 of the family's 3401-position model. Lineage: Eukaryota; Metazoa; Nematoda; Enoplea; Triplonchida; Trichodoridae. The record is from RNAcentral.
ACGCGUCAAGUAGAGCCUGAGCACUCGCUUAAUUUAAGCAUAUUAGUAAGCGAAGGAAAAGAAACUAACAAGGAUUUCCUUAGUAACGGCCGAGUGAAAAA